GGCUCAGGACGAACGCGGGCGGCGUGCCUAACACAUGCAAGUCGAAUGGGCCUGGGGGCAACUCCAGGUCAGUGGCGGACGGGUGCGUAACACGCAAGCAACGUAUCCAACGGUGGGGGAUAGCCGGCCCAACGGCCGGGUAAUACCGCAUACGGUCGCCCGGGACAUCCCGGGUGAGGAAAGUGGGGGCAACCUCACGCCGAUGGAGCGGCUUGCGGCCUAUCAGCUAGUUGGUGAGGUCACGGCUCACCAAGGCGACGACGGGUAGCUGGUCUGAGAGGAUGAUCAGCCACAUUGGGACUGAGACACGGCCCAGACUCCUACGGGAGGCAGCAGUGGGGAAUCUUGCGCAAUGGGCGAAUGCCUGACGCAGCGACGCCGCGUGUGGGAUGACGGCCUUCGGGUUGUAAACCACUGUCGGGGGGGACGAAGGCCCGGCGGCGAACAGCCGACCGGGAUUGACGGUACCUCCAAAGGAAGCACCGGCUAACUCCGUGCCAGCAGCCGCGGUAAUACGGAGGGUGCGAGCGUUGUCCGGAAUCACUGGGCGUAAAGGGCGCGUAGGCGGCUGGGUAAGUCACGCGUGAAAUUCCGGGGCUCAACUCCGGAACGGCGUGUGGGACUGCCCGGCUAGAGCACGGUAGAGGCGAGUGGAAUUCCAGGUGUAGCGGUGGAAUGCGUAGAUAUCUGGAAGAACACCGGUGGCGAAGGCGGCUCGCUGGGCCGUUGCUGACGCUGAGGCGCGAAAGCGUGGGGAGCAAACAGGAUUAGAUACCCUGGUAGUCCACGCUGUAAACGAUGGGCACUAGGCGUCGGGGGGAGCGACCCCCCCGGUGCCGUCGCUAACGCAAUAAGUGCCCCGCCUGGGGAGUACGGCC
Molecule: ribosomal RNA, 878 nt
Filed under: uncultured bacterium
Lineage: Bacteria
Description: bacterial SSU rRNA
Rfam family: Bacterial small subunit ribosomal RNA
Source: RNAcentral